GUGGACGAAAACUUACUGAUGGUUGACACUGGCUGCAAAGGAUUCAGGAGUCUUCACUGGCAGGAAAUAGCAGUGUCACUUUCAAAUGCUCAGGAGAACCCAGACCCAGUGCUCACUGUGACAUGAGGCUUAAUGUGUGGCCACCAAGAGAGACAGCCACAUGUCACCUUCUGAUUGGCAGAGGGAGGGUUGUGAAUGAACACAGUCACAGCUUGAGGGGAAAGUGUUCCCCUUGCUGGCAACAGCAAGUGACCGAGAGCUCAGCAGAGGCCUCAAGCCCAGACAGACUGCUGGCCUCACUCAUGCCCUUCAUCCAGGUACAUAUGCCCUGGAACAAAAGAGAGAGAAGUUUUGGAGCCUCAAGACAGCGGGUGACACACUACUCAUUUUCUAGCAGUGUUGUAGAAACCAGAAACCAAAACUCUGAGAUGUGGAGAGAGAGAUGGGGAUAAAAGUGCUUUUCUGCAGGAACAGCGAUGGUUGCACUCGGAGCACCGGUGUGAGGAUGAGAAGAAUGAAGGAGAAGAGCACAGUGAAGUUCUGGGGGCGUUGUCAGUGAUCAAUGAAGGACGAUCAUCACCACCCUCCUCCUCACUGUCAUCAGCCUUGUUUAGAAACAAAGAAACUGAGGGGCAGAGAAACUCAGCAGUCUGCUCAGGUCAUAGAGUACUAAGUGUGAGAGAAGGAUGCAAACUCAUAUCCGAGUGGGUCUGAAUUCAUAGUUAACACAUCACAGAUUCCUUCUCGGUGUGUUGCUGCAUGUGCCUACUGAGAAAACAGCUUCCCUCAAUAAGAAUAACACAAGUUGGUCCAGGUAAAUAAGAGAGGUUU
This is a long non-coding RNA of Heterocephalus glaber (naked mole-rat), 831 nucleotides long. The record is from Ensembl. Lineage: Eukaryota; Metazoa; Chordata; Mammalia; Rodentia; Bathyergidae.